UAAAUUUGUUUAUCAGAUGUUGUUUCGAUGGGUCUUUGCUUAUUUUUGUCAUAAAUUGUAACUCAUAACAAUACAAAAACAGGUCCGCAAUAAGUGGUGCACAGUUAGUUCCCAUUGGAAUUCCGAUAAUCUGACGAUAUACGGAAUCCCCAAAGCGAACAAAAAUGUUAUCUAGUAAAAAUUCAAGGGCAUAUAUAGUAU
This 201-nucleotide long non-coding RNA is filed under the name Mytilus galloprovincialis (Mediterranean mussel). Lineage: Eukaryota; Metazoa; Mollusca; Bivalvia; Mytilida; Mytilidae. The record is from RNAcentral.